CACCACUGCAGGACAACAUGGCUGCCACACGAGCUCUCCUUCUGGUGGUGAUCGGCGUCGCGGCGGUUUGCUUACUGGCGACAGCUGCUCCCGCCGAUGAAACAAGGCCGGCGGAGGCGAGUGGCCCAGCCCUGGCCGCAGCGGCACCGCCACAG
This is a long non-coding RNA of Schistocerca americana (American grasshopper), 155 nucleotides long. RefSeq lists it as uncharacterized. The transcript has 3 exons. The record is from RefSeq and is a predicted model, not a curated record. Lineage: Eukaryota; Metazoa; Arthropoda; Insecta; Orthoptera; Acrididae.